GACGAACGCUGGCGGCGUGCUUAACACAUGCAAGUCGAACGGAAAGGCCCUGCUUUUGUGGGGUGCUCGAGUGGCGAACGGGUGAGUAACACGUGAGUAACCUGCCCUUGACUUUGGGAUAACUUCAGGAAACUGGGGCUAAUACCGGAUAGGAGCUCCUGCUGCACGGUGGGGGUUGGAAAGUUUCGGCGGUUGGGGAUGGCCUCGCGGCUUAUCAGCUUGUUGGUGGGGUAGUGGCUUACCAAGGCUUUGACGGGUAGCCGGCCUGAGAGGGUGACCGGCCACAUUGGGACUGAGAUACGGCCCAGACUCCUACGGGAGGCAGCAGUGGGGAAUAUUGCACAAUGGGCGGAAGCCUGAUGCAGCAACGCCGCGUGCGGGAUGACGGCCUUCGGGUUGUAAACCGCUUUCGCCUGUGACGAAGCGUGAGUGACGGUAAUGGGUAAAGAAGCACCGGCUAACUACGUG
RNAcentral lists this ribosomal RNA (468 nucleotides) under uncultured bacterium. RNAcentral describes it as "partial 16S ribosomal RNA". It matches the Rfam family "Bacterial small subunit ribosomal RNA", at positions 28 to 507 of the family's 1533-position model. The record is from RNAcentral.